UGGAAAAACAAUUCUUGAGCUUGGGAGUGAUGACGAAGGUCCAAGCACAGGGGCACAUGGAUGGCCCUGCAAUUAUUGAGGUCCUUGGGCAAAGAAGUCGCAAUGAAGUUUUUGCUGAAAUUUAUAUGGUUGCUGGAAGAGCACUUGGUUCUUGUUCGGAAGCUUGGGGAGAUUAUUUUGCCUUCAAUUAUUCCAAUUUUAACUCAAGGGGUUAAACACCCUGACAGUAGUAGAAGACAAAAUGCAAGGAAUUGAUGAAAAAUUUUCCACACCCCUUCAUGCAUUAGAGGAUGAUGAAACUUCUGAUACAGUGCUUGAUGGACUCAAACUAAUAUUGAGGGAUUGCGGUCGUUUUGCCUCACAUCUUGCCUAAAUUAGUCCAAUUUCCGCUUUCAUGAGAUUGACAUGGUUGCUUGGGAAGCUUUAGGAAGAGUUGUUGGAUCACUCCAAAAGGAUGCCCUUUCUUCAUUCAUUAAAGCUGUCCGAGAUGCUCUUGAGAUAAAGAGCGAAGAAAAAGAAAGAUAUCUCUUUUUUUCUAUGAAGGAGACCAGCAGCGUUGUG
This is a long non-coding RNA of Zingiber officinale, 561 nucleotides long. RefSeq lists it as uncharacterized. Lineage: Eukaryota; Viridiplantae; Streptophyta; Magnoliopsida; Zingiberales; Zingiberaceae. The transcript has 5 exons. The record is from RefSeq and is a predicted model, not a curated record.